GGGAUAACUUGGGGAAACCCAAGCUAAUACCGCAUACGACCUACGGGUGAAAGGGGGCUUUUAGCUCUCGCUAUUAGAUGAGCCUAAGUCGGAUUAGCUGGUUGGUGGGGUAAAGGCCUACCAAGGCGACGAUCUGUAGCUGGUCUGAGAGGAUGAUCAGCCACACUGGGACUGAGACACGGCCCAG
Molecule: ribosomal RNA, 187 nt
Filed under: uncultured Pseudomonadales bacterium
Lineage: Bacteria; Pseudomonadati; Pseudomonadota; Gammaproteobacteria; Pseudomonadales
Description: partial 16S ribosomal RNA
Rfam family: Bacterial small subunit ribosomal RNA
Source: RNAcentral